UACGUAGGUGGCAAGCGUUAUCCGGAUUUACUGGGUGUAAAGGGCGUGUAGGCGGGGAAGCAAGUCAGAUGUGAAAACCACGGGCUCAACCUGUGGCCUGCAUUUGAAACUGUUCUUCUUGAGUGCUGGAGAGGCAAUCGGAAUUCCGUGUGUAGCGGUGAAAUGCGUAGAUAUACGGAGGAACACCAGUGGCGAAGGCGGAUUGCUAGACAGUAACUGACGCUGAGGCGCGAAAGCGUGGGGAGCAAACAGG
This 253-nucleotide ribosomal RNA is filed under the name uncultured bacterium. RNAcentral describes it as "partial 16S ribosomal RNA". It matches the Rfam family "Bacterial small subunit ribosomal RNA", at positions 524 to 776 of the family's 1533-position model. The record is from RNAcentral.